This 1902-nucleotide long non-coding RNA is filed under the name Capsicum annuum. RNAcentral describes it as "long non-coding RNA (CANN_LNC001265)". Lineage: Eukaryota; Viridiplantae; Streptophyta; Magnoliopsida; Solanales; Solanaceae. The record is from RNAcentral.
UCUAAUCUUAUUAAAAAAAUUCUCCAGGCAUACCUUCUUCAACGUCUUCGGCUUUCACUUUAAAGAGAGAGAAGCCGAGGAUCUCACUCCUAACCCAAAAAAUUCGGCUUUCACUUUAAAGAGAGAGAAGCCGAGGAUCUCACUCCUAACCCAAAAAAGUCAGACUGGGGACUGAGGAUCCUUCUAUUUCAAGCAUUUGACUUUUAUUUCCUUGAAAAAAGUCUAGGCCAGGUAUUCAUCCUGUUAAUUCGGCAAAUAUUUGUUGCUUGUUAAUAGGCAACAUCUGAGCAACACCUGGAUGAAGAAUAGGAGUACCAUCUAUGACCAUUUCAAACAUGAGUUUCAUAUCUUGUAAGGUUAUAGUCGCUUCACCCGUUCUCAGGUGAAAGGUAUGUGUUUCUGGUCGCCACCUUUCAACAAGUGCAAUAAUAAGGGGAAAAUCGCAGGGAACGAAUCCAACAUCUAUAACGCCUCUAAAACCACAAAUAUUAAAAUAAUUAAGAAGACGAGGAUGAAAUGAAUGAUUUCUAACAUGUUGCCAAAAACCAUUAUCAUCACGCCGCACUAUCAAACAUGCCUUUUCUCUUUUUAAUGUGUCUUUACGAAUAGCUUCAGACCGAUGAUUAUUUUGCGUGGCAUAUACGUCAUACUAUGAUGGUCCUGGAUGCGCAAAGUGUUGAUAUUCCAUAUAUAUACAAAAAGAAGAUUAAAAUUAGUUCUGAGCAUACAACUAAAGGGCAAACUUUUACACAUGCAUAACAAUACUAACUUAACGUAGGUUUAGGCUUAAUAAGUUGAUAUGAUAACAACAAUAUUUGACAAAUUAGUAAGCUACAAAAAUGAUUAAUAAUAUUAUACUGCAUACUUGCUUGUUAGGUAUUGAAAAAUAUUAAAUAAAAAAGUGAUUAAAGUAGUAUACCUAAAGUGCAAAUUUAUUGAGAAAGUAGACUUUGAGCAAAAAUAAAUACAUCUAAUAUAGAUGAAACUAGUGAAGUGAAAAAAUGAAUGAAAUGGGCGGUAUAUAAAAGAAAAUUAAUAAGGUAAGGAACACGGUUUACCUUGUAAGGUAAGAGACACAGUUUACCUUGUAAGGUAAGAGACACAAUUUACCUUAUAAGGUAAACUCACUACUUUACCUUAUAAGAUAAACUCAUCAUUUUACCUUACAUUCUAACAUUUGAACUAACGGUGUUAACUUUGUAAUAGACAAAGGUAAACACAUGUGUUUACCUUGUCCCUUUUGGAAUUUUUCAAUAUUGGGGUGCCCUUUUGAAAUUUUGACUAAAAAAACUUGCCUUUUAGGCUCCAGACUCUAGUUUUGAUCCAAUCAAUUAGUAACAACAUGGUAUAUUUAGACCAAUCUAUUAGUGGAGGACAUUUUUAUUCAAUUUCACAUAAUUUAAGGGCAUCCUUGACCCCUUUUUUCCAUAUUGGAAGUUACUUAGACCUAGAAAUAGAAGCUAGAACAUUUAUAUUUGCAUUUUGUUUUGAAAAUAUUACUUUGGCUUUGUGUUUGUAGCUUGACUGCAUGAGUAUAGCAUUAUCUCUGGCUCAAGAUGAUGCUUUUUGUUGUAGUAUCUUAGCCUCUUAGCAGGUUCAAGGUGAUGAAAAGAGACUAGUAUUGAAGAUGGAAAAAGACACAUGCAAGUUGCAAAUCUUACUUGUAGGUGCACGUCAGGAUGCUACGAAUAUGCAUGUCGUGUACUAAACUACAACCAUAAAAAUAAGAGAAAGAUCUAGACUACUAUCAUAUGGAAGAUUAUUACAUCAAUUUAAUGGUUGGCAUGCACAUAAAUAUAUGUUUUAGAGAUAAAAACAAGAACUUGAAUAUUUUUUUAGAAAGAAAAAUGUUGUCUAAUAAAACGGCAUAGUGAUCAUAUCGUGUUGCAAGAGAAUAUUGAG